GACGAACGCUGGCGGCGUGCUUAACACAUGCAAGUCGAACGGAAAGGCCCUGCUUUUGUGGGGUGCUCGAGUGGCGAACGGGUGAGUAACACGUGAGUAACCUGCCCUUGACUUUGGGAUAACUUCAGGAAACUGGGGCUAAUACCGGAUAGGAGCUCCUGCUGCAUGGUGGGGGUUGGAAAGUUUCGGCGGUUGGGGAUGGACUCGCGGCUUAUCAGCUUGUUGGUGGGGUAGUGGCUAACCAAGGCUUUGACGGGUAGCCGGCCUGAGAGGGUGACCGGCCACAUUGGGACUGAGAUACGGCCCAGACUCCUACGGGAGGCAGCAGUGGGGAAGAAUGCACAAUGGGCGGAAGCCUGAUGCAGCAACGCCGCGUGCGGGAUGACGGCCUUCGGGUUGUAAACCGCUUUCGCUUGUGACGAAGCGUGAGUGACGGUAAUGGGUAAAGAAGCACCGGCUAACUACGUG
Molecule: ribosomal RNA, 468 nt
Filed under: uncultured bacterium
Lineage: Bacteria
Description: partial 16S ribosomal RNA
Rfam family: Bacterial small subunit ribosomal RNA
Source: RNAcentral